UUGGAGGGCAAGUCUGGUGCCAGCAGCCGCGGUAAUUCCAGCUCCAAUAGCGUAUAUUAAAGUUGUUGCAGUUAAAAAGCUCGUAGUUGAAUUUCGGGAUCAGCAAGUUGGUCGUGCCUCUGGUACGUACUGGCUUUACUGGUUCCUCCUUCUUGAAGAACUGUAAUGUCAUUAAUUUGGUGUUGCAGGGAAACAGGACUGUUACUUUGAAAAAAUUAGAGUGUUUAAAGCAAGCUAACGCUUGAAUACAUUAGCAUGGAAUAAUGAAAUAGGACGUUUGAUCCUAUUUUGUUGGUUUCUAGGAUUGACGUAAUGAUUAAUAGGGAUAGUUGGGGGCAUUAGUAUUCAAUUGUCAGAGGUGAAAUUCUUGGAUUUAUUGAAGACUAACUACUGCGAAAGCAUUUGCCAAGGAUGUUUUCAUUAAUCAAGAACGAAAGUUAGGGGAUCGAAGACGAUCAGAUACCGUCGCAGUCUUAACCAUAAACUAUGCCGACUAGGGAUCGGAUGAUGUUAAUUUUUUAAUGACUCAUUCGGCGCCUUACGGGAAAC
RNAcentral lists this ribosomal RNA (549 nucleotides) under uncultured Glomeromycotina. RNAcentral describes it as "SSU rRNA". It matches the Rfam family "Eukaryotic small subunit ribosomal RNA", at positions 548 to 1098 of the family's 1831-position model. The record is from RNAcentral. Lineage: Eukaryota; Fungi; Glomeromycota.